GGAGGGGUCGCAUAGUGGCCGAGUGCGGGCGCCUGCUAAGCGCUUACUGGGUGUAUAGCUCAGUCGAGGGUUCGAAUCCCUCCCCCUCCGCCA
This 93-nucleotide transfer RNA is filed under the name bacterium. RNAcentral's name for it is "tRNA-Ser". It matches the Rfam family "tRNA". From Rfam's summary of the family: Transfer RNA (tRNA) molecules are approximately 80 nucleotides in length. Their secondary structure includes four short double-helical elements and three loops (D, anti-codon, and T loops). Further hydrogen bonds mediate the characteristic L-shaped molecular structure. tRNAs have two regions of fundamental functional importance: the anti-codon, which is responsible for specific mRNA codon recognition, and the 3' end, to which the tRNAs corresponding amino acid is attached (by aminoacyl-tRNA synthetases). tRNAs cope with the degeneracy of the genetic code in two manners: having more than one tRNA (with a specific anti-codon) for a particular amino acid; and 'wobble' base-pairing, i.e. permitting non-standard base-pairing at the 3rd anti-codon position. The record is from RNAcentral.